RNAcentral lists this transfer RNA (90 nucleotides) under Pelotomaculum sp. Its description in RNAcentral is "tRNA-Ser". It matches the Rfam family "tRNA". Rfam says of the family: Transfer RNA (tRNA) molecules are approximately 80 nucleotides in length. Their secondary structure includes four short double-helical elements and three loops (D, anti-codon, and T loops). The record is from RNAcentral. Lineage: Bacteria; Bacillati; Bacillota; Clostridia; Eubacteriales; Desulfotomaculaceae.
GGAGAGAUGGCCGAGUGGAUGAAGGCGCACGCCUGGAGAGCGUGUGGACGGGGAACCGUCUCGUGGGUUCGAAUCCCACUCUCUCCGCCA